This 1390-nucleotide long non-coding RNA is filed under the name Toxoplasma gondii VEG. Lineage: Eukaryota; Apicomplexa; Conoidasida; Eucoccidiorida; Sarcocystidae. The record is from RNAcentral.
GAAGAGAUUGCCCCAAAGAGGAGAUUUGGGUCUAUGGGGACGCCGGUUUCUGUCAAUGGACUGGAAGGAGAGGCGCGACGCCUCCACAUUUCCGUCGGGAGUUCGGAACAGGAGGAUCUCCGGGUGUGUUGAUGCCGUUCUUGAGGCACACGGCUUCACCUUGCAGAAGAGGAACGAUUUGGAAGGAUGAGGUUUCGUAGCUCCAGCUUGCUGGCUUCCUUCUCUGGAAACCGACUGACGUCUCCAAACGGUGAAUCUCUUCGCCAGAGGGCUCUUUCGUCUGUGUUGUACAGUCAGUUCUGGGACUUUGUUUGUUAAGUUCCUGCCAGAUUUGUGUACAGCAGACACGGCAACUUCUUUGUACCCAUCCACGUUGGCGGUUCGGGUGCCGUUCUCUCAAUAACGAACGCGGUCUGCCGGCUCAGCAUAAGCGUAGAACUGAUCCGGGAGAAUGUGUAGAAGAUAGGAGAUACAAGUUUUUUCGAGCUCACCGAAGAUGAGUCAACCAACGCUGAAUUGUGCCGACCAGAACCACCAGAUCGAAUUUGCGGAGUCUGCGUUUGGAUCACGUGUCGCGUACACCCUGAACGCAGAUUCACGGGGAAAGGGGAUACGAUACAUGCAGAAACAGGUCGCAGUCCACACGGCUGCUCGGCAGUUCGGAUUCACGUAUAGCUUCACCUGAAGCCGGGGGAACACGCUCUCGACCAAGAGACAGCAUUUGCCUCUCAGCGUCAACCAUACGAGCUGGCACAAGGAGUCUGUGUUUUUGGUAACGAUUCACAGAAAUGCAGUCGGGGAAUGGCUGAUCACUUGGGCCGGCAGAGCGUGGUCUUCGUGGCGUUUUUGUACGGAGCGCUGUUCCACUAGUGGACAGUACGAACCUCGAGGCAAAGAACUCGGUAUUCUGGCCAAAGUAUGUUGAAAGCUAAUCUUGUCAGGUCUACACUGAUGCACUGAGCUCUGGGCAGUCCAUGGGUCCCGUUUUCGUCGGAAGCGUGCGGCUUUGGGGGGACUUUGUGUGUCAGCACGCUCGUUCUCAAAGCUUGCUCGAGUAGGCCUUGCUGUCCCAGCUUUUUCGGAGAAAACAUGUGGUGAGACUUUUUGUUUUGACGGGUACUCGCCAACAGAUUCACCUUUCGAUUGGCUGCCACAUUGCCGGGGCACACUUGGGGGCGAAAACAAGUAUUGUGUGAGUUCAAGAACAGAACAACUUUCCCUUUGAAUCAGGGGCGACUGUCCGCGAAAAAUACGGGUUGUCUGGUCCUUCUCCGCUACGGGUAAGCUAGUUGACGAGUAGCUGUUCGACUCUAAGUGGUUGGCGUGCACUCAUCUGUGUUUUUGUGCCUUUUCAACGUCGUGUUACGUGCCGAAGGUCCUGACAGCCACC